Molecule: ribosomal RNA, 303 nt
Filed under: Azospirillum brasilense
Lineage: Bacteria; Pseudomonadati; Pseudomonadota; Alphaproteobacteria; Rhodospirillales; Azospirillaceae
Description: partial 23S ribosomal RNA
Rfam family: Bacterial large subunit ribosomal RNA
Source: RNAcentral
GGAUCAAGCGUCUGAAGGGCAUCUGGUGGAUGCCUUGGCACUGAGAGGCGAUGAAGGACGCAGCACGUUGCGAUAAGCCAUGGGGAGCCGCGAGCAGGCUUUGAUCCGUGGAUUUCCGAAUGGGGCAACCCACCGCGCAAGCGGUAUCCCACGCUGAAUCCAUAGGCGUGGGAGGCGAACCCGGCGAACUGAAACAUCUAAGUAGCCGGAGGAAAGGACAUCAACCGAGACUCCGCUAGUAGUGGCGAGCGAACGCGGACCAGGCCAGUCAUUCAGUCUACACAACCGGAACCGUCUGGAAAG